GUCGAGCAGAUGCGAAAGCAGGACAAAGUGAUCCGGUGGUUCUGUAUGGAAGGGCCAUCGCUCAACGGAUAAAAGGUACUCUGGGGAUAACAGGCUGAUACCGCCCAAGAGUUCACAUCGACGGCGGUGUUUGGCACCUCGAUGUCGGCUCAUCACAUCCUGGGGCUGAAGCCGGUCCCAAGGGUAUGGCUGUUCGCCAUUUAAAGUGGUACGCGAGCUGGGUUUAGAACGUCGUGAGACAGUUCGGUCCCUAUCCGCCGCGCGCGCAGGAAACUUGAGAAAGGCUGUCCCUAGUACGAGAGGACCGGGAUGGACACACCGCUGGUGUACCAGUUGUUCCGCCAGGAGCAUCGC
RNAcentral lists this ribosomal RNA (354 nucleotides) under Ditylum brightwellii. Its description in RNAcentral is "partial Bacterial large subunit ribosomal RNA". It matches the Rfam family "Bacterial large subunit ribosomal RNA", at positions 2388 to 2741 of the family's 2925-position model. Lineage: Eukaryota; Bacillariophyta; Thalassiosirophyceae; Lithodesmiales; Lithodesmiaceae. The record is from RNAcentral.